AUAACUAGCCUCCUCCGAGAGACCUGAAAAAGCAAAGCAGGGAAAGCGGGGGAGGGGUUGACAGGGAUGAUCGGGAAGUGUAGGAUCAAACGGUUGACUCUUUCGGGGAGAAAAAGCCCUGAAGAGAAAGACGCCCUGUGGAAACGCAGGGAGAGCGUCUCGGAUCAUUGACAACUAAAUAGGAGCAGCAACGUCCAAUUAAAGGGCCCUGAUCACGAAACACAGGAACAAAAUGAAUCUGGAGAGUUUGAUCCUGGCUCAGAACGAACGCUGGCGGCGUGCCUAACACAUGCAAGUCCAACGUGAAAGGGGAGCAAUCCCCCGGUAGGGUGGCAAACGGGUGAGUAAUACAUGGGUGAUCUACCUUAGGGAUGGGGAUAUCCUUCCGAAAGGAGGGCAAUACCGAAUAUGUCCGGAGCCAUGAAGGGUUCCGGGGAAAGGAGGCCUCUGAUACAAGCUUUCGCCUUAAGAUGAG
This 475-nucleotide ribosomal RNA is filed under the name uncultured bacterium. RNAcentral describes it as "partial 16S ribosomal RNA". The stretch from base 236 to 475 matches the Rfam family "Bacterial small subunit ribosomal RNA", at positions 1 to 229 of the family's 1533-position model. The record is from RNAcentral.